GUGCCAGCAGCCGCGGUAAUACGUAGGGUGCGAGCGUUAAUCGGAAUUACUGGGCGUAAAGCGUGCGCAGGCGGUUUUUUAAGCCAGAUGUGAAAUCCCCGGGCUCAACCUGGGAACUGCAUUUGGAACUGGAAGACUAGAGUGUAGCAGAGGGGGGUAGAAUUCCACGUGUAGCAGUGAAAUGCGUAGAUAUGUGGAGGAAUACCAAUGGCGAAGGCAGCCCCCUGGGUUAACACUGACGCUCAUGCACGAAAGCGUGGGGAGCAAACAGGAUUAGAUACCCUGGUAGUCC
Molecule: ribosomal RNA, 292 nt
Filed under: uncultured microorganism
Description: partial 16S ribosomal RNA
Rfam family: Bacterial small subunit ribosomal RNA
Source: RNAcentral